RNAcentral lists this microRNA (22 nucleotides) under Columba livia (rock pigeon). Its description in RNAcentral is "cli-miR-9618-5p". Lineage: Eukaryota; Metazoa; Chordata; Aves; Columbiformes; Columbidae. The record is from miRBase by way of RNAcentral.
UGGCAGAGGGCCCACUCUUGGC